UACGUAGGGGGCAAGCGUUAUCCGGAUUUACUGGGUGUAAAGGGAGCGUAGACGGCUGAUCAAGUCUGAAGUGAAAGCCCGGGGCUCAACCCCGGGACUGCUUUGGAAACUGGUCAGCUAGAGUGCAGGAGAGGUAAGUGGAAUUCCUAGUGUAGCGGUGAAAUGCGUAGAUAUUAGGAGGAACACCAGUGGCGAAGGCGGCUUACUGGACUGUAACUGACGUUGAGGCUCGAAAGCGUGGGGAGCAAACAGG
This 253-nucleotide ribosomal RNA is filed under the name uncultured bacterium. RNAcentral's name for it is "partial 16S ribosomal RNA". It matches the Rfam family "Bacterial small subunit ribosomal RNA", at positions 524 to 776 of the family's 1533-position model. The record is from RNAcentral.